This is a long non-coding RNA of Mytilus californianus (California mussel), 724 nucleotides long. RefSeq lists it as uncharacterized. The record is from RefSeq and is a predicted model, not a curated record. Lineage: Eukaryota; Metazoa; Mollusca; Bivalvia; Mytilida; Mytilidae. The transcript has 3 exons.
UCGUCCCGAAAGAAAGCCCGUUAUGCAAAAUACACAAAGAAAACUUCAUAUUCUACUGCGUUGACUGUGUCAUACCAAUCUGUAAAAUGUGUAUCGUCAAAAAUCACAAAAAUCAUUAUACGUCUGAAAUCAACGAAUCGACACAGGAAUUACAGGUUGAAGUGAAAAAGGUCAUGGACUCACGGAUUAAAUGUGUCAAAACAAAUCUAGAAAAAAUUGAACAAGGCACGGUAAAGUAUCAGAGCGACAUAAACGAAGCUAUUUGCGCUAUCACAGAAGAUGGGAAACAGAUGAAGCAGUGGAUUGACCAGAAAGUGAAAGCCCUCACAACAUCAUUGGAAGAAAAAGGGACAGCAAACCUGAAGGCCUUACAAUCAAUUAGAACUGAUUUUCAAAAUGAUUUAAAAAAGUUACACAAAUGUCAGACUGCCUUUACCGAGAGCCAGAAACUUGCCGAUGUAACUAAACUUCUGACACAACUGAAACAUAUUAAAUCCGAGUUAGACAUUGCAGGUGAAAAACAGUCACCAGUCAUGUCGACAGUAAAAUAUUACAAAAAGAAUGUAUCAGAACGAGAAAUAUUCAUUCUAUUUGGAGACCUAUCAUUCCGAAAACAGUCAGAAAAGACACUGUUCAGAUACCAAAUGUGACCAUUGUUGGGAAGAAAGACUUUCUGAGUAGGUAUCAGUAAAUAUCUUCAACAAGCUAUUGAAAAAAAAAUCAU